RNAcentral lists this long non-coding RNA (2609 nucleotides) under Capsicum annuum. Its description in RNAcentral is "long non-coding RNA (CANN_LNC009636)". The record is from RNAcentral. Lineage: Eukaryota; Viridiplantae; Streptophyta; Magnoliopsida; Solanales; Solanaceae.
UUGAAUUUGUACUUAGUGGCUUAUAUUACGGACUAACAUACCUGAGAUUAUUUAUGUUUUGACUAUACUAGUCUAUUAAUCUACUUUUGAGAUUAUUUUAGGUUUAUCAUGUUCUUAUUUUCUUUCAUUUCUGUAUAUUUGGAAUGUUGCGUUUGGGAUUGGGUUCUUAGCUUACCUAUCAUGAAGGGUUGGAUAGGUGCUAUCAUGGUCCCAAUUUUGAAUUGGGACAGGAGCUUAGUAACUUGUUUGGAAACGUUAGUUGUGAGGGGAUUCAAUUUCUCUCUCAGUCUUCGUAGAAGUUAGGUGUUUGAUUAAGUUUAAACUUUGGAGGUCUUUGAUUUAAUAUACCUUUGAUUUCCUAUGUUUUCUUUUCUUAUGUCAAUCUAUUUAUCGUUUUUCUUUCUUAUCUUUUGAUUUUUCGUACUUUAUAUUUGUAUUCAUAUUUUGAUUCGCAUCCGUACCCAAUAAAUUUAAGACGGGUCAAACAUGAACAAAACCCAUAUCAUCCAUCCAAAAGUAGGUAGUUUAAUGGGAAAAGGUUAAAAACAACCUCUCGAGUGGAAAAAGUGACUCAAAAAUGACUAAUGAUUUCAAAAUACCAUAUCGUUGGUUAUUAGCAGCUAGCGGCGUCUUAUUUGCGCAACUUUAUUUGACUUUUUUUUUUUUACUAUUUUUUUGUUUGUUUUGUUUUACUUUUGUUGUUGAUCUUCUUUACUUCUUUAUUAUUAUUCUUAUAUAAAUAAAUUGUACAAAAUUAUUUCUUGCUCUUUUUGUCACUACUUUUUUGCUCCUUUUUUUUUAAAAAAAAAUAAUCAAAUAAAAAAAGUGUAUGUUUUCAACUAUAAUAUUUUUUUAAAAAGUAAUAUAUAUUGACACAAUGCUAUACAUAUUGAUACAUAUAUACAAAUACAUAUAUACUAAUAUAUGUUGAAACGAUAUAAUACAUGUAUAAUACAAUACAAACAAGUAUAUAUAUGAGUGUUCUAAAGUAUUGAUACAUACAUGAAACACAAUAAAUAUCUUAUACAUAUUGAUACAAUAAAAUAUAUAUGUACAAUUUAAUACAUAUUGAUAUAAUAUAAUACAUAACUGGUACAUAUAUGUGUGUGCGCGUGCGUGCACUUACACAUUCUAUAUAACCUCUUGUUAUAAUAAUUAUUUAGGUACUUUUCUAUACAACAAUUAUACAUUCUCUAUACAUGUCUUAUACACACACAUAUUUAAUACAAUAAUUAUAAAAAAUUUAUACUCAUCCUAUAUAGUUUCUAUGCAUAUAUCUUAUAUAGGUAUAUAUUCUAUAUAAUAAUUAUACAAUUUCUAUACAAUUGUAUUUAAUUUAUUUAUUUGUUUAAAAAGGAAAUCAAAUUAUUUUAGCCCCAAAAAAUUAUAGCGAAACAAGAAAAAAAAUUACGGCCAAAAUGACCCAAGAAGAAACGGAGAACCGAAGUAGUCCAAUUACUUUGGGCUAACAACAGUUCGGCCGACUUGCAUAGUUUGGCAAAAUUAGUUAAAUGUUGGUUAUUUGUUUUCAAAAUGGCUAUUGGGUGCCCUUUUCCCUAGUUUAAUAGGCAAAAUGGGCAAAAGAUGCCCAAUCAUUAAAAAAAAAGUGAUGCUAAAUUUAUUUUUUGUAAUGUAGGUGCUCGAGGUAGGGGGUGAGGGUGGGGGUCGGGGUCAGGGGGUAUGACAAUUUUUUUCUUUUUUUGAAAAACAAACUAAAAGAAUUACAUUUUUUUGGGGGGUGGAGGAGGGGGUUGGGAGUCGAGUAGCGGGGUGAUAAAAAAAUUACUUUUUUUAAAAGAGAAAUUACAUUUUUAUGGGUGGGGGUGAGAUUUUGUUAGAGGUAAUAAAAAAUUAUUUUAAAAAAUAGAUUAAAAGAAAAAGUUGGAGAUGGCGGUAUGGUGGGGUGGUAAAAAAAAAAUAAAAACUAGGGAUGGCCAUAUCAGAGCCACAUGUCAAAUUAUUAUUUAUUUUUAAAAAAUGACCCCACUAUUUUGUAUAUUAUAUAAUAAAAUAAAAAAUAAAAGAGUAAAUCUCCCUGUGUCAUUCCUUUCAUCUUCACACCCAUCACCCUUCUUUCUUGUUCUGCAAUCCUGGCUCUCUUUCUCAGCUUCUUCAAACCCAUUCAUCCUCUUCUUCCUUCAAAAAUACCUUUUUUUUUAUAAUUUGAAAAUUUGAAAAAUCUAGCUAACACAACUUACAUUAAUUCAAAAUAAAAAUAAAAAUAAAAAUUAACAAAUAGAACCACAAGUUAGAUGCCACCACACGAAAAGCAAACAAGAAAUGAUAUCGAAUUUGAAGAAAAUCAAGUAAUCUUUGAGCAACCUUUGAACAGAAAAAAAAAUCAAGUCUUGGAGAUUGUAAAAUCGAGAAAAAUGUUUGACUUAUGAAAAAUUGAAUUUGUUAUACAUUUCUUCUUCUCAACAAUGAAUUUGAAAAAAAUAUUAAAAUUCACAACUUUUAUCAUACACAUUUUUUUCUUUCUGAAAGAAAUUGAUGAAGUGUAAUGGAAGUAGAGGUGGAGGCUUACAGGAAGGAUAAAGAGAAUUGGAGUAUGUAAGAAGAAAGAACAAAAAGAAUGGGAUGAGGACUGGAGGCAUAGAAGAAGAACG